This 468-nucleotide ribosomal RNA is filed under the name uncultured bacterium. RNAcentral describes it as "partial 16S ribosomal RNA". It matches the Rfam family "Bacterial small subunit ribosomal RNA", at positions 28 to 507 of the family's 1533-position model. The record is from RNAcentral.
GACGAACGCUGGCGGCGUGCUUAACACAUGCAAGUCGAACGGUGAUGCUCCAGCUUGCUGGAGUGGAUCAGUGGCGAACGGGUGAGUAACACGUGAGCAACCUGCCCCAGACUCUGGAAUAAGCGCUGGAAACGGCGUCUAAUACUGGAUACGAAACUGGCCCGCAUGGGCAUGGUUUGGAAAGUUUGUCGGGUUGGGAUGGGCUCGCGGCCUAUCAGCUUGUUGGUGAGGUAAUGGCUCACCAAGGCGACGACGGGUAGCCGGCCUGAGAGGGCGACCGGCCACACUGGGACUGAGACACGGCCCAGACUCCUACGGGAGGCAGCAGUGGGGAAUAUUGCACAAUGGGCGAAAGCCUGAUGCAGCGACGCCGCGUGAGGGAUGACGGCCUUCGGGUUGUAAACCUCUUUCAGCAGGGAAGAAGCGAAAGUGACGGUACCUGCAGAAGAAGCACCGGCUAACUACGUG